GCAGGGAUAUGAUAUUGAAGCACGUGACAAGUUGGUGAUUUCAGCAGUGGUUUCUCCUGUCUAUAGAAACUCUUCAGCAGAUGGCAAUUUUCCACCUUCCUGUAUAAAACCAGAAUCCUCUCACCUGGCAGAAAUCUUUCUCUCCAGAUGCUGCAAAGCCAGCACAGAUCAUCUUCUCUGUGAUCCCUCCUGGAUGGGCAGAAUAAAAGAAGAGGGGCUGAAGCGGAUGCUGCUUGAUAUCAUUUACAUGACUUAUUUUCAAAAAUAACAACUGGCAUUAAUGUUUAUGCAACAAAAAUAUGCUUACCUGCACUGAUGCUUCCCCAUCCGGUCACAGCACAGAUCUCCGAGGAAAAUAGAGGCUCUGUGCUGUGUGGGAGACAUACUGGCCUCACCGCCGAGUUGUACUCCAGAGGAGAGCUUAGUUGUAUUAGGGCAAUGUCAGAGUCAUAACUUAGUGUGUUAAAGUCUUCAUGCACUAUUAUGUGUUUGGCCCUUCUCACCUGUAUCGGUGGCAAGUAAGCAAAUUACAACGUAAGAAAGUCAAAGAAUCCAGCUACUUCCUUGUUGAUGGUCCAAAAUAAUCCUAAAUUUCUGCACUUACAUACAUAAACAAUGCAGAAGACUUUCUAUUAAAUUUAAAAGAGCAAUAUUGGUUUACAAUUUGCAGGGGGCUAUGAACCACCUUC
Molecule: long non-coding RNA, 689 nt
Filed under: Pan troglodytes (chimpanzee)
Lineage: Eukaryota; Metazoa; Chordata; Mammalia; Primates; Hominidae
Description: long non-coding RNA NONPTRT003945
Source: RNAcentral